AGGAGAAGUGUUCUGAUCACAUGGCAUUGUACCACAUGACUACAGCACUUGAAUGCUUGAGAAGACACAGGACUUCCUGAGGACAACUCUAAAAAAGAGUCUCCAUUCUUUUUUUCAAUCAUAGAACACAAAAUACUUUCCUACAGCAUGGUUUGGUCUUUAAAACGUAGGCUGUGAGUCUGGCAAAUCCAUUAUAGGUGUCCACUUGAUUGUUCAGAUUGAAAAUAGCAGCUGACCAUCUCACUUUUUUUUCAGCUGAGUGUAUAACUGGAUAACUUGUGGUUCUAACGGGUCCAUUGAUAGUACUGCAUACCGGCAGCAGUCAUGUUAUUUUUGUUUUUGCACUUAAGAUGAAUAAUACAUGUUCAUUCCCAUAUGCUUUGCAGAUCCAGCCCAUUCUUUCACAUCUGCAGUUACACUCUGUUCCUAGUUUUACUCUAUCCAGCUAUAUAUGGGACCAAGUACACACCCAAUCUACCCACACAUGCACACAUAAUAUACGCACACUCAUAAUACACAGGGGACUCCCAAAGCUUUCAGCAGAAUAGUAAGUGACCAGAGGAUGUUGUGAAUUUUCCCUCCUGAUUCUACAAGCUUUCACUGGCUUAAUCUGCUGGAAGUCAGUCAGCUAUGCUGUAGACAACACAGUGCUGUAAGAACACAUCAUCUCAGUUUCUCUUCAAUUCAUCAUUCUUUCUGUUUCUCGUUCCCCAUUUGUUCUUAGCCUGAGGACAUUUCAGCUGAGGAUCACACAUUUUCUACCCAUUUUGCCAGCAUCAGCAAAGACCAGUUGAAUGCACUUGGGCACUUUUUAAGGCAGCAAGAGAACAAGCAACACGUGUUAUGUGAGGAAGUGUUCUCAUACAGAGACGAGAAGCAAAAACCCUGCACUCGUUAUCCAUAUACAGCAGAUAUCAGCACUUUUUUUUUAUCACUAUGUGUACUUGCAUAUGCUCUUCUACUAAGGGGUUGUGACUGAUUUCAAGAUUAGACUUCAUACAUUGUGGCAUCAUCUCUGUGUAGGACAAGGUUUCAUUUGAAUAUCUUGUUUGUUUGCUACAUAAUGGUAUCACUGCAUUGGCUUCAUUACUCUGUAGCAAGGGCUCUCAAAAGUUUGCAGCCAGAGAUCUCUUUUACUGUAAAAUAAAUAUCCACAGAGCCCCUCAGCACAGAUUUAUUUUAUGACCAUAAUCUGAGUAGUCAAAAAUUAGGCUCAUUAAUGAAAUAUGUCAAAUAAUAAUCUGGGUAUUUAUUAGAGCCAAAUGGGUUUUACUCCUCAAAUUUUCACUGAC
This is a long non-coding RNA of Ictalurus punctatus (channel catfish), 1292 nucleotides long. NCBI's taxonomy places the organism in Eukaryota, Metazoa, Chordata, Actinopteri, Siluriformes, Ictaluridae. The record is from Ensembl.